CAGUCGCCGCGGUAAUACGAACCGUGCGAACGUUAUUCGGAAUCACUGGGCUUAAAGCGCGUGUAGGCGGGCCGGCACGUCGGUCGUUGAAAUCCCCCGGCUCAACCGGGGAAGUGGCGCCGAUACGACCGGCCUGGAGGAACGUAGGGGGAGCUGGAACUUCCGGUGGAGCGGUGAAAUGCGUUGAGAUCGGAAGGAACGCCCGUGGCGAAAGCGAGCUCCUGGACGUUUUCUGACGCUGAGACGCGAAAGCCAGGGGAGCGAACGGGAUUAGAUACCCGUGUAGUCCCUGUCUCUUAUA
RNAcentral lists this ribosomal RNA (301 nucleotides) under uncultured bacterium. Its description in RNAcentral is "partial 16S ribosomal RNA". It matches the Rfam family "Bacterial small subunit ribosomal RNA", at positions 509 to 807 of the family's 1533-position model. The record is from RNAcentral.